RNAcentral lists this ribosomal RNA (333 nucleotides) under uncultured bacterium. RNAcentral's name for it is "partial 16S ribosomal RNA". It matches the Rfam family "Bacterial small subunit ribosomal RNA", at positions 338 to 668 of the family's 1533-position model. The record is from RNAcentral.
CCUACGGGGGGCAGCAGUGAGGAAUCUUGGUCAAUGGGCUUACGCCUGAACCAGCCAAGUCGCGUGAGGGAAGACUGCCCUAUGGGUUGUAAACCUCUUUUGUCAGGGAGCAACGCCGGCUACGUGUAGCCGGACUGAGAGUACCUGAAGAAAAAGCAUCGGCUAACUCCGUGCCAGCAGCCGCGGUAAUACGGAGGAUGCGAGCGUUAUCCGGAUUGAUUGGGUUUAAGGGGUGCGUAGGCGGAGUGCCAAGUGAGCGGUAAAGUCGCGGGGCUAAACCUCGCUCCGCCGUUGAAACUGGCGUUCUUGAGUGGGCGAGAGGAAUGCGGAAUG